AGUCUCGUGGUGUAGCGGUUAUCACGCCUGCUUUAAACGCAGGAGGUCGCCGGUCCGAUCCCCGUCCGAGAUCA
This 74-nucleotide transfer RNA is filed under the name Toxocara canis (dog roundworm). It matches the Rfam family "tRNA". Rfam says of the family: Transfer RNA (tRNA) molecules are approximately 80 nucleotides in length. The record is from Rfam by way of RNAcentral. Lineage: Eukaryota; Metazoa; Nematoda; Chromadorea; Rhabditida; Toxocaridae.